RNAcentral lists this ribosomal RNA (449 nucleotides) under uncultured bacterium. RNAcentral describes it as "bacterial SSU rRNA". It matches the Rfam family "Bacterial small subunit ribosomal RNA", at positions 330 to 796 of the family's 1533-position model. The record is from RNAcentral.
CCCAGACUCCUACGGGAGGCAGCAGUGGGGGAUAUUGGACAAUGGGGGAAACCCUGAUCCAGCGACGCCGCGUGAGUGAAGAAGUAUUUCGGUAUGUAAAGCUCUAUCAGCAGGGAAGAAAGAAAUGACGGUACCUGAGUAAGAAGCCCCGGCUAACUACGUGCCAGCAGCCGCGGUAAUACGGAGGAUGCGAGCGUUAUCCGGAUUUAUUGGGUUUAAAGGGUGCGCAGGCGGAAGAUCAAGUCAGCGGUAAAAUGGAGGGGCUCAACCUCUGCGAGCCGUUGAAACUGGUUUUCUUGAGUGAGCGAGAAGUAUGCGGAAUGCGUGGUGUAGCGGUGAAAUGCAUAGAUAUCACGCAGAACUCCGAUUGCGAAGGCAGCAUACUGGCGCUCAACUGACGCUCAUGCACGAAAGUGUGGGUAUCGAACAGGAUUAGAUACCCCGGUACC